Long non-coding RNA from Daphnia pulicaria, 153 nucleotides. RefSeq lists it as uncharacterized. The transcript is spliced from 2 exons. The record is from RefSeq and is a predicted model, not a curated record. NCBI's taxonomy places the organism in Eukaryota, Metazoa, Arthropoda, Branchiopoda, Diplostraca, Daphniidae.
AGGGGAUGGGUAAGGUACGAUCGGAGGCAUUCUUGAGAAAAGGUAACAAUCUGCUUCCGGAGCUCAUCACGUACAGCACCUCUACAAUAGCGGCUGAGGAAUGUCACGAACACCGUACCCGCCUGUCAAAAUGAAUAAUAUCGUCGCACUGCU